Molecule: transfer RNA, 73 nt
Filed under: Candidatus Methanomethylophilaceae archaeon
Lineage: Archaea; Methanobacteriati; Thermoplasmatota; Thermoplasmata; Methanomassiliicoccales; Methanomethylophilaceae
Description: tRNA-Gln
Rfam family: tRNA
About the family: Transfer RNA (tRNA) molecules are approximately 80 nucleotides in length. Their secondary structure includes four short double-helical elements and three loops (D, anti-codon, and T loops). Further hydrogen bonds mediate the characteristic L-shaped molecular structure. tRNAs have two regions of fundamental functional importance: the anti-codon, which is responsible for specific mRNA codon recognition, and the 3' end, to which the tRNAs corresponding amino acid is attached (by aminoacyl-tRNA synthetases). tRNAs cope with the degeneracy of the genetic code in two manners: having more than one tRNA (with a specific anti-codon) for a particular amino acid; and 'wobble' base-pairing, i.e. permitting non-standard base-pairing at the 3rd anti-codon position.
Source: RNAcentral
AGUCCUGUGGUGUAGCGGUCAAUCAUGCCGGCCUUUGGAGCCGGCGACCCUGGUUCGAAUCCGGGCAGGACUG